CCUGCAGCCACUGGUUCUGUGCCUGCAGCUUCGUCAGCAGGCUGGCAUUUGUGGUUGGGUCAGGGGUGGUUAUUGCAUCUAGAUUCUUUGCCUGAAGGAAAAUGAAAGUAAAAAGGAUUGUUUAAAUGUUGAAUAAAUCCUUUGCAGUGGAGGGAUGCUCUGGGCUAUGGGAUGAUGUUCAAAUGUGAAAUGUGGGGUGAAUGAGAUUAACUGGGGUGCCUGCUCUGAGUAGGACCCUUCCAUAGCAACAAACUUCUUUUUUUUUUUUUUGAGUCAAGGUCUCGUUCUGUCACCCAGGCUGGAGUGCAGUGGUGCACAGCAACCUCUGCCUCCUGGGUUCAAGUGAUUCAUGUGCCUCAGCCUCCUGAGUAGCUGGGUUACAGGUGUAUGCCACCAUGCCUGGCUAACUUUUUUGUAUUUUUAAGUAGAGAUGGGGUUUUACCAUGUUGACCAGGCUGGUCUUAAACUCCUGGCCUCAAAUGAUCCACCCACCUCAGCCUCCCAUAGCGCUGGGAUUAUAUCAGCACUGUGCCUGGCUCACAGCAACCAACUUCUAAUCAUCCCUUUGCUGUUCUGUCUCCCAUUAGACCACAAGCAUCCUGAGGGAAGCACCACUAUCAUUUUUGUUUGUUUGGUUUUGGUUUUUUGUAGAGAUGGGGUCUUGCUAUGUUAUCCAGGCUGGUCUUGAACUCCUGGCCUUAGGAGUUCAAGGAGUUCUCACCUUAGGCUCCCAAAGUUUAGGGAAUACAGGCAUGAGCCACCAAGCCUGACCAGCAUCACUAUCUUAUUUGUUUGUAUUCUGUCAUAUGAAAUAAUGCCUGGCACAUAGUUCAUAUUUAGUAUAUGAAUGAAGAGCCCAUACUUAAAGGCAUUUUAAUAUGGGUUCUUCAGUGGCCUCUAAAUCUGAUACUUUUCUCCAGUUUCCCUCUCACCAUCCCUUUAGGAUCUGUUGAAAGACCACUGAUCCGGUGGUGUAAAGAGGACUGGGAAACACCUUUCCAUAGACCCACCAUAUGGGAUAAGUAACUUGUGGAAGGCCUUAAACCUCCAAGUGUGGUCCUGGAAUUCUGCAGCAUCACCAGGGAUAUAAGCCUGGUAGAAAUUUGACCCUCAAACCCACCCGAGGCUUGCUAAGUCAG
RNAcentral lists this long non-coding RNA (1139 nucleotides) under Homo sapiens (human). Its description in RNAcentral is "HSALNT0119759". Lineage: Eukaryota; Metazoa; Chordata; Mammalia; Primates; Hominidae. The record is from RNAcentral.